GUGUGGGGGAAUAAGUUCUCUGUGCCGAAGCUAACGCAUUAAGUAUUCCGCCUGGGGAGUACGGUCGCAAGACUGAAACUCAAAGGAAUUGACGGGGGCCCGCACAAGCAGCGGAGCAUGUGGUUUAAUUCGAAGCAACGCGAAGAACCUUACCAAGGCUUGACAUCCUCUGACCGCUAUAGAGAUAUAGUUUCCCUUCGGGGCAGAGUGACAGGUGGUGCAUGGUUGUCGUCAGCUCGUGCCGUGAGGUGUUGGGUUAAGUCCCGCAACGAGCGCAACCCCUAUGUUUAGUUGCCAGCACGUAAAGGUGGGAACUCUAAACAGACCGCCGAGGACAACUCGGAGGAAGGUGGGGACGACGUCAAAUCAUCAUGCCCCUUAUGUCUUGGGCUACACACGUGCUACAAUGGCCGGUACAAAGAGCUGCGAACCCGCAAGGGGAAGCGAAUCUCAUAAAGCCGGCCCCAGUUCGGAUCGUGGGCUGCAACCCGCCCACGUGAAGUCGGAGUUGCUAGUAAUCGCGAAUCAGCAUGUCGCGGUGAAUGCGUUCCCGGGCCUUGUACACACCGCCCGUCACACCAUGGAAGUUGGGGGCGCCCGAAGCCUGUGUGCUAACUUUUUAAGAGGCAGCAGUCGAAGGUGACAUCCAUGACUGGGGUGAAGUCGUAACAAGGUAGCC
RNAcentral lists this ribosomal RNA (679 nucleotides) under uncultured bacterium. RNAcentral describes it as "bacterial SSU rRNA". It matches the Rfam family "Bacterial small subunit ribosomal RNA", at positions 820 to 1501 of the family's 1533-position model. The record is from RNAcentral.